AGUCGACGAACUCUUCGGAGUUAGUGGCGGACGGGUGAGUAACACGUGGGAACGUGCCUUUUGGUUCGGAAUAACUCAGGGAAACUUGUGCUAAUACCGAAUGUGCCCUUCGGGGGAAAGAUUUAUCGCCAUUAGAGCGGCCCGCGUCUGAUUAGCUAGUUGGUGAGGUAAAGGCUCACCAAGGCGACGAUCAGUAGCUGGUCUGAGAGGAUGAUCAGCCACAUUGGGACUGAGACACGGCCCAAACUCCUACGGGAGGCAGCAGUGGGGAAUCUUGCGCAAUGGGCGAAAGCCUGACGCAGCCAUGCCGCGUGAAUGAUGAAGGUCUUAGGAUUGUAAAAUUCUUUCACCGGGGACGAUAAUGACGGUACCCGGAGAAGAAGCCCCGGCUAACUUCGUGCCAGCAGCCGCGGUAAUACGAAGGGGGCUAGCGUUGCUCGGAAUUACUGGGCGUAAAGGGAGCGUAGGCGGACAUUUAAGUCAGGGGUGAAAUCCCGGGGCUCAACCUCGGAAUUGCCUUUGAUACUGGGUGUCUUGAGUAUGAGAGAGGUAUGUGGAACUCCGAGUGUAGAGGUGAAAUUCGUAGAUAUUCGGAAGAACACCAGUGGCGAAGGCGACAUACUGGCUCAUUACUGACGCUGAGGCUCGAAAGCGUGGGGAGCAAACAGGAUUAGAUACCCUGGUAGUCCACGCCGUAAACGAUGAUUGCUAGUUGUCGGGAUGCAUGCAUUUCGGUGACGCAGCUAACGCAUUAAGCAAUCCGCCUGGGGAGUAC
This 775-nucleotide ribosomal RNA is filed under the name uncultured bacterium. RNAcentral describes it as "bacterial SSU rRNA". It matches the Rfam family "Bacterial small subunit ribosomal RNA", at positions 60 to 883 of the family's 1533-position model. The record is from RNAcentral.